This 492-nucleotide ribosomal RNA is filed under the name uncultured bacterium. Its description in RNAcentral is "partial 16S ribosomal RNA". It matches the Rfam family "Bacterial small subunit ribosomal RNA", at positions 29 to 507 of the family's 1533-position model. The record is from RNAcentral.
AGUGAACGCUGGCGGUAGGCCUAACACAUGCAAGUCGAACGGCAGCACAGUAAGAGCUUGCUCUUACGGGUGGCGAGUGGCGGACGGGUGAGGAAUACAUCGGAAUCUACUUUUUCGUGGGGGAUAACGUAGGGAAACUUACGCUAAUACCUCAUACGACCUACGGGUGAAAGCAGGGGAUCUUCGCACCUUGCGCGAUUGAAUGAGCCGAUGUCGGAUUAGCUAGUUGGCGGGGUAAAGGCCCACCAAGGCGACGAUCCGUAGCUGGUCUGAGAGGAUGAUCAGCCACACUGGAACUGAGACACGGUCCAGACUCCUACGGGAGGCAGCAGUGGGGAAUAUUGGACAAUGGGCGCAAGCCUGAUCCAGCCAUACCGCGUGGGUGAAGAAGGCCUUCGGGUUGUAAAGCCCUUUUGUUGGGAAAGAAAAGCAGCAGGUUAAUACCCCGCUGUUCUGACGGUACCCAAAGAAUAAGCACCGGCUAACUUCGUG